CCGGCCCUGCCCGGCCGGCCCUGCGGCGGCUCGGGCGCGGCAGGGCUGGGAGCGGCCGUGCGGCCCUUCCGGAGCGGGCCGGACGAAGUCCGGGUGUUGCUGCCGUCGCCAGGUGCCACGGGCCGGCGGGGUCUAGGACAGACACUGCGGGGCUUCGUAAUCCCGAGUACGGGAGUGUUCCGGGAGCCCCACGCGGCUGAAGACAGCAUUUCCCACAAGCAACGAUCAGUAUAUUUGCUUGUUUUCGUCCUCUUGAUUUCACCUUAAUUCUCUAGAGGUCAGACCGUGCUAUGACAUACAGUAGUAGCGUGUUACCCACCCGUGGCUGGAUAAAGCAGAACCAACCCCCUCCAUCAAAUGCUUUACAUCGCUACAGCAAAGGAGGUUGAGAUGGUACAGGCAGGAACCUCCUUCCUACUGUCUCUACAACAGGUACACGACAAGUCAAAGCAAACAUAUAGGACUGUGAAUGAAGCUAAACACACAAAGAACCCCUAAAAGCAGACUUCUGUCACGGGAUUUACCACUGAACAACAGUUUUUCCAUGAAACCAGCGUAAGACUUCCAUCUACCCAACUUCUUGAAGAGUUUAAAGGCGCCACUCUGAUGGUUGCAGGUGUUGGAUUCUUUGAUAAUCAAAUUGUAAUAAAGUGUGUCAUC
Vidua chalybeata is the source of this 660-nucleotide long non-coding RNA. RefSeq lists it as uncharacterized. NCBI's taxonomy places the organism in Eukaryota, Metazoa, Chordata, Aves, Passeriformes, Viduidae. The transcript has 3 exons. The record is from RefSeq and is a predicted model, not a curated record.